AAACUUUUGGUUUUAUGGUUUUUCCUUUUGGUUUAAAUCAGUCAAUUCCAUAGUUACAUUAGCCUGCAUCCCUAUGUUACAAUUGCAAGCAAUGCUGUGUUACUGGACAACAGAAUUAUGUGGCUUUCCUUUUGUUUCUGUUUUGCAAGCAUUACCCAGUUUUUUGCUGUCUUAUUCCUUGCUAUUUUCCCUUUUGUUCCAAUAACUUGUGAUGG
RNAcentral lists this unclassified non-coding RNA (215 nucleotides) under Hevea brasiliensis (rubber tree). The record is from RNAcentral. Lineage: Eukaryota; Viridiplantae; Streptophyta; Magnoliopsida; Malpighiales; Euphorbiaceae.